This 4766-nucleotide long non-coding RNA is filed under the name Taeniopygia guttata (zebra finch). RNAcentral describes it as "lncRNA (ENSTGUG00000027376.1)". Lineage: Eukaryota; Metazoa; Chordata; Aves; Passeriformes; Estrildidae. The record is from RNAcentral.
UUUUUUUUUUUUUUUUUUGUUUUCUAACAUUUAUUAAUAUAUAGUAUGUAAUAAGUAUGGAAUGCAUUAUAUUAUUGAGGUAUAUUAUUUUUUUACCAGUCUAUUCUUGCAAAUAUAAUUUAGAAAUACCUUUAUAGGUUUUCUUCAUUUAAUUCAAUGUAAAACUAGAAAUGCAAACGAUUAUGCUAAGGCUUACAGUUAACAUAAAUAUUUAAUUGAAUCCUUACUUUUUAACUAGCUGGUACAUACCACAGAUAGGAUUUUACAUGAUGUGACCUUUCAUUCUCCCACUGAUCUGUAAACCUAAAAUAAUCUAUUUUCAUGCCGUAAGCAGAUGUUCCCUGAGUCUGUGUGUGCAGACCACUUGUCCCAGUGAACAAUUGGAGGUGGGCACAUUUGGGGGGCUGGUAUAUUCCUGAAUUAAACAUGACUGAGCUGCAUGUCUGGGCUGGUGGGCAAUAACCAGAGAAAGUUGAUUCUGGUGGUGUCAUUAGAACUCACACAAGGUCGUAGCUCAAUUUAAAAAUUGUACAGCUAACAACUAAAGCAAUUGGAAAGAGGGCGAUCAGAGCAGCACAGAGGAAAAGCUGCCUACAUCAAAUAGAGCUGGUCUUUGAUAUCAAACCCUCUGAACAGACUUUAAUUAGGUGCUGAGAUUGAAAUCUUUGCCUUUUGAGGCAUUGGUGGUGCUGUUCACAGCUGUUUGUGCCGGGCACACAUGGACACACAGCCUGGUGGCCAGAGAGACCAUGGGAAUAGCUGCCAAUUAAGCCUUUGGCUACCAUAAUUCCAAGUAUGGAAUAUGGCUGUCAGCUUUCUAAAUAAAUGGGACUUUAUGUCCCAAUCCCCCUGGUGCUUCUGAACCGGGAUGAUUCAAUUUAAGUGGGACACCCAGGAGCUGAAGGAGCAGACAAGGAAGAUGGAGAGAGUCUUUACGAGGGCCUGGAGUGACAGAACAAGGGGAAUGGCUUUAAGCUGAAGGAGGGCAGGGUUAGAUGGGAUUUUAGCAGGAAAUCCUUCCCUGUGAAGGUGGGCAGGCCCUGGCACAGGAUGGCUGGAGAAGCUUGUGGCUGCCCCUGGAUCUCCGGCAGUGUCCAAGGCCAGGCUGGAUGGGGCUUGGAAUAGUGUGGGCUAAUCUAAGGUGUCCCUGCCCAUGGCAGGGGUGGCGCUGGAUGAGAUUUAAGGUCCCAUCCAACCUAAACCAGUCUGGGAUCCUGUGAUUUAUGUCCAGAUCCCACUGGUGCUCCUGAGAGGGGCAGGUUGGGAUGGUGCCUGUGGAUGGGGACCAGGGUCCAGCUCUGUGAUCCUGCUGAGCAGAGCUGUGGUGUCUCAGCUACCUGAAGGUGGCCUUUGGCUACAGCAGCCUAUUUCUUCCAGUCAUACCAACUUUGGGGUGUGCAGCUUGCUUGGGGGAGCAGAGCCUGCUCCAGGUGCUCUGCCUGGGAUUCUGAGAUGCCAAAAGGAGUGGGAUGGGCAUGGAGUGAAGGGAGAUGCUGCUGGGGAGAACAACCUCAGGUGCAGGAAUCCUGAUUCCCUCAGUCUCUCAGCAUGCCUUCAGUCCAGCUCUGGGCUCUUCCUCACACCCUCACAGUGCUCAGAAUGGUUAGAAUUCAUUCCAGCAGUGACUACAAACUCACCAACAUCAGGUGUGGGAAGAGUGAGAGGUUCAGACCCUAAAUAAAUUGGAAAGUAACAGAUAGAAAAAUAGCAAGGGAAAAAUAUAAGACCAUGGAAAUAUUUCCCUAUUAAUUAUGUCACAGUCCACUGGAGCUACUGUGAAUGUUGCACAGAGAGGUGUCAUUGAUGCUGCUCAUCAUUUCUUUGCUUAGCAGUUUGUCCUGGGGGCUGUCAGCAGCUGCAGCAGCCCCACUGCCUGAGCAAACACAUCACAAACCCUCUGCCUUACACACCACAAACCUUUAGUGUCUGAUGGAGCAGAAGAUGUUCCCAUGAGCUGCUUGUGAGUUAUUACAAUUUUGUAGCUGAACGUUUCCAAUAAGUGAUUCUCUAACUUCAUGGAAAAAAGAGCUCAUCUUUCUUAAAUGAGCUCUUCCUUCAUCAUGAACGAUUUCCCAAGCUCUGUUCCUGAUGCCCUGCAAGUCACAGCCAGCAUGCCAGUGACACAGCCUCGUUCUUUUGAUGAAGUCUUUCAAUAAUCACCUUUGCCAAUAGGCACUUUUCCCCCCCUCCACAGAUACUCCAUUCUUUCAUUAUUUUCUGGAUUAGGACCAGAUUCUCUGUCAGCCAAGGUUUUCCAGGAUCUCAUCAAUAAAACUCUGAAUUAGCAGACAUGAUUCCAAAGAAGGUGUUUGAUACUAUCAUUCCUCCAAGAGCAUUCCCAUACCCUUCCCUAGCAAAUUUCAUUUUAUGAUACAUUGUCCUUUGUUAGCACAACAAAGUGAAACAGAUUUUAACCCAUACAGAGAAAUUUAAAUUCAGUUUUUCAUUUUAUAACCUUUUGUAUGGAAAUUAUUUUCUUUUACAAGGGUACUGCGCAUUCUAGACACUUGGCAUUGAAUUUAGAAAAGCCCUGGAAAAGAAAAGCAUGCUUUUAUAAAACUUACAACAACCUGUAGAAAAAAUGAAAAUAAAAACCUGAUUUUUUGAAUAAUGAAUUAUUUCUGGGGAAGGCUAAGAAGCUGAUUUGUUAUUCAGAAUGAGUGACCUACUGCACUUCUUCCCAGUGAGCAUGGAAAAAAAAUAUAAUUGGGCUUCCUAACAAUGGCAUUUAGCAUCAAAAUACAGUUAGAGGCUUCAUUACUGAGACUCUGGAUAGAAGUGACUUGGUAAGAGUCUAUCAGCAUAGAACUCUUCUGCACAGCAUUUCGAAGUUAACUGCUAAAGAACAAAACUAUUCAGUGCAUAAAGAAACCUAUUAAGGCUGUACAAUACUUGAAUGAAGAUGUGUUUACAGAGGCAUUCCUCAGAACAAGGAAUAUUUCCCUUUGUUCACAGUUCAGAACACAGAGUUGGUGCAUUCCUGCGCCAUCUCCCAGCCCUUAACUUUACAGCAGUCAAAUGAGAUUUUCCUCUCAUGUCCUUGACUCUGCAGUCUGCUUAGAACUCGGCCUUCAAAGUGCACCUGUGAAUCUCAGUGUUUAGAGGAAUAUGUAACUGCUGGCUUUAGCACUUAGCCUUGUUCAUAAAAUACACAGUCUAUAACCUAUCCUGCAAUUUAAAUGCAAAUAAUAUUUAAACAAGGCUAAUCUGGUAAGCUUUUGUGUGUAGAGUGAUAUAUGGGAUGGAGAUGUUUGAGGUGCAAUAGUUUACUGCUCUGAAUUCCUUUUCACAUCAAUCAUCUCUCCACAUGCAUCAACAAUUAAAAUGGUUCAUGGCUGCAGGGACUAUGACAAACUAACAUCAUCAUUUAAAUGCCCAUGAAAGCACCUUUGAGCAUAAGAAGCUGAUAGGAAAUGAUAAAAUGUUAAUUAUAAGUUGUAAGCAAAACCAAGUACCUCUAUUCAUCAGUGACCUGCUGAUUAUAAAUAGAGCUUGUUUGUACAGCCACCAUACACACAGAAAAAUGUGCUGUGGUGGGGGCUGGUCUCAUUUAAUGUUUUCUGUAUAAAUCAGCCGUGGCCAGCUCUGCCUGUUGCCAGGGGAAACACAUUUUUACUUCACUUUCCCAUCUUAUCACAAGGAUAUAAUGGAGUAAGUGUCCCUCCACCCAGAGAAGAUAUCAAGAAGUUAAUCACAAAAGUCAGAUUUUUCAUCCUUUCCUAAAAGGGGCUUGCAAUGGGUGUGUCAUGAUCAGCCAUUCCUCUCCAGGCACUUCCUGCCCCUGUCCAGGCUAAAGGGACUGCUGACACUCAUUUUUCCAUCUUCCAGAUGGCUCCUUAGAUUUGCAGUGUCAAUUUAAAUUGAUGCUGACACAACCCAAAGAGGGUAUUUUUUUUUUCUCGGUCCUGCAAUCAGGGUAGUGAUUCUGAAUUGUGUUUAAAAUGAUUCUCCACUUUCCUCUUCCUUGGCUGUAAACCAGUUCUCACUGUGACCAUGCUCUAAAAAAAUAUCAUGAGUCUGUUUUAUUUGAUCUGUAGAAAUGAACUGCAAAACUGUAGCAGGAAUUAGAGAGCUAGAAACAUAUUUUUCUUAGAAUGUAGACCUAGAAUGAAUUUUUUUUGAGUAAAAAAGUAGGCUUGACUGUAAAUAUGUUUAUACCAUUUUCUAUAAAUAUAAACUCAUUUGCCACAGGACUAUUUUUCUAGUGCAUAAUUCCCUGUGCAGUUAUGUAAACUGAUACUAAAUCUAUGUAACAAGGUGACCUUUUUUCUAAUCCCAAGAAACACCUGAAUAUAGUAAUAUUCUAGAACUUUGCCUUAUUUAUUCCUAUUUUUAAACCUUUGUCACUAUAAUUUUUUUAAUUAAACUGGCCCUUGCAUCACUAUAGUUCCUUGUUAAAAAAAGGCACAUUUCUGCCUAUAAUCACUUCCAUUUUCCUUUUUUCUACAACCACUUUCCGAGAAGCUAAUCGAUACCUGGAAUAUUUGCACUUCCACGCUGCCAAAUCCAAGAACUGUGGGUUACCUGUGAAACUUGGAGCAAAACCAUGACCCAGCACAGAGCAGCAGGAGUUUUCAGGCUUACAUCCUGAUGUCUGUAACCAAGACAAAGGCAGUGGGAGUUUGGAGAAGAGCAGUGAAUAAGCAAGAAAAGUCACUCUACAACAAAGCACCAUGUCAGGUCAAUAUGAAAAAGGAGCUCGAAAUGGAGAGAAAGCAUUCCUUUGCUUCAGUCUCAAACAUGAAAAAAAAAAAAAAAAAAAAAAA